Molecule: RNA transcript, 9736 nt
Organism: Etheostoma cragini (Arkansas darter)
Lineage: Eukaryota; Metazoa; Chordata; Actinopteri; Perciformes; Percidae
Gene: mical3a
Gene name: microtubule associated monooxygenase, calponin and LIM domain containing 3a
Exons: 47
Source: RefSeq, a predicted model, not a curated record
AUGUUUCUGUAACGUGUUUUUUAUAGACCUUUUUGUUGUGUCCCCCCUCCUUCUCGUGGUUAUGGUUUCGACCGAUCCCCCUCUGUCAGUUUCAAGUUGCGCCUUCUCCCUCUGCUGUGUGUUGCUACUCGCUCUGGCCUUAACGAGCAUUAACCACUUAAACAGGACAGUUUUACGUGGAAUUCUGGACAUACACACGAAAAUGGAUUCAUUCCCGCCACAUAAGAGUGGAUUAUAAACCCACGGGAUUCAGAGAGUGAAGAUGCUUGAGGCUGGGAGUUAGAGCGCUCCACCCUAUAGAGCGUGUUCCAGGGCUGGGGCUGGAUCCAGAGACCCCUGCCUGGGGGGUGAAGGGCCCUCACAGCCCCUGUGUGAGUCUGGACUAUGGGGGAUGGAGGCGCGGGUGCAACUGGAGGAGAUGGGGUGAACAAGUCCCAUGUCCUGUUUGACAACUUUGUCCAGGGGACCACGUGUAAGGGCACGCUCAAGGCCUUCCAGGAGCUGUGUGACCACCUGGAAGUCAAGCCCGGCGAGUACAGGAUCUUCUAUCACAAGCUCAAGUCCAAACUCAACUACUGGAAGGCCAAGGCGCUCUGGGCAAAGUUAGACAAGAGGGCCUUCCAGAAGGAGUACAAAAAGGGCCGUGCCUGUGCCAACUCACAGUGUCUGAUCAUUGGUGCGGGACCAUGCGGCCUACGCACAGCCAUCGAGCUGGCUUUCCUGGGGGCCAAAGUGGUACUGUUGGAAAAGAGAGAUGCCUUCUCUAGGAACAAUGUGCUGCACCUCUGGCCCUUCACCAUCCAGGACCUCAGGGGCCUCGGGGCCAAAAAAUUCUACGGAAAGUUCUGUGCUGGUGCUAUCGAUCAUAUCAGUAUUCGUCAGCUUCAGUUAAUUCUUCUGAAAGUGGCACUCUUGCUGGGCAUUGAGAUCCAUGUCAACGUAGAGUUCAAGGGUCUUAUUGAGCCCCCACAAGAUCAAGAGACUGAAAGGAUAGGCUGGAGGGCUGAGGUCCACCCCAGGACACACCCUGUCAAUGAGCUGGAGUUUGAUGUCAUCAUCGGAGCAGAUGGAAGAAGGAACACACUACCAGGGUUUCGCCGUAAGGAGUUCCGGGGCAAGCUCGCCAUCGCCAUCACCGCGAACUUCAUCAACAGGAACACGUCAGCGGAGGCGAAGGUUGAGGAGAUCAGCGGGGUAGCCUUCAUCUUCAACCAGAAGUUCUUUCAAGACCUCAGAGAAGCAACAGGUAUUGACCUGGAAAACAUUGUCUACUACAAGGAUGACACACACUACUUUGUGAUGACUGCCAAAAAACAGAGCCUGCUGGAGAAAGGAGUCAUUCUGCAUGACUAUGCAGACACAGAGCUGCUGCUGUCCAGAGCCAACGUGGACCAGGCCGCCCUGCUCUCGUACGCCAGCGAGGCCGCAGAUUUCUCCACCAACCAUCAGCUGCCCGCACUGGAUUUCGCCAUCAACCACUACGGCCAGCCCGACGUAGCCAUGUUCGACUUCACCUGCAUGUACGCUUCAGAGAACGCCGCCAUGGUGCGCCAACGGAAUGGCCACAAGCUGCUGGUGGCGCUGGUGGGCGACAGCUUGUUGGAGCCCUUCUGGCCCAUGGGCACUGGCAUCGCCCGAGGUUUCCUGGCAGCCAUGGACUCAGGCUGGAUGGUGAAGAGCUGGGCUCAGGGAAAAACCCCUCUUGAGGUUCUGGCUGAGAGGGAGAGUAUAUAUCGUCUACUGCCCCAAACCACGCCAGAAAACGUCAGUAAGAACGUCAGUCAUUUCAGCGUGGAUCCAACCACGCGUUACCCCAACAUUAGCCUUAACUUCCUCAAGCCCAGCCAGGUGCGGCACCUCUGCGACACAGGGGAGUCCAGGGAAAUUCACAUUGAAAUUGAGAAUGUGAUCAACUCCUCAACACCCAAGUUGGCCAGGAAUGACAAUUGCCUGCUUGACAAGCAGUUGCAAGAAUCCAUAGCUCGAUCCAGCAAGCUGCUGAACUGGUGUCAGAGACAAACGGAGGGAUACAGAAAUGUUAACGUAACGGACCUUACCAUGUCUUGGAAGAGCGGUCUGGCCCUGUGCGCCCUCAUUGACCGAUACAGACCGGACCUCAUUGACUUUGAUUCCCUGGACGAGCGGGACCAGGAGAAGAACAACCAGUUGGGAUUUGAUGUGGCGGAGAGGGAGUUUGGCAUUUCGCCCUGCAUGACCGGCAAGGAGAUGUCUUCUGUGGUAGAGCCAGACAAGCUCUCCAUGGUCAUGUACCUCAGCCAGUUCUAUGAGAUGUUUAAGGACACAGUGCCACCCGGAGAUAACCACAACUUGAGUCCUGAGGAGAAGGCAGCAAUGAUAUCCAGCACCAAAUCUCCCAUCUCCUUCCUCAGCAAACUUGGUCAGAGCAUAGCAAUAUCCAGGAAACGAAAUCCGAAGCAGGACAAAAAAGAGAAGGACGUGGACGGUUUGGGGAAGAGAAGGAAAACCAGCCAGUCUGAAGAUGAGGAGGCAUCCAGGAGCGGUCGUGACGACAGGUCGCCUGUCUCGGCUGUCCUGUCGGAGAGAAAAAUGGACUCCUGCGCUGCGGGGAACCACAACAAAGUCAAAGUCAUGGCCACCCAGCUGCUCGCCAAGUUUGAGGAGAAUGCCCCGCAGCCUACAGGACUCAAACGGCAGGGGGAGUCUCUGCCCAAUCUGGACUGCCUUUCGCCCCUUAUCCCGCCCAAAACCCCUUUGAAUGAGCCGGUGCGCCUGGCUCCUGUCCCAGCAUGGAGAAAGAGACGCACACAGCAGCAGGAGCAGCUGAGCAUUCGCUACAAAGAAAUGAUCAAGUGUCAGACACUGCCUAACAGGGGGGAGCAGGCCAGAAGUGGCGCGGACCAACUGUCCAGCUCGGGCUCUCGCAGCUGCCCAAAGAAAACCAUUCUGCUCCCUUCUUCCUCCUCCACUUCCUCGCUCUCUCUUCACUCAGAGCAUUUGCAUAAAAGUCCGGAGGAAGAGGAGCUUGAAUACUACGAGAUGCCUCUAAAAUACGGGGAGUGGAAGCUUCCGCAUCUGACAGACCCAAGACCCAUUCACAUACCUGGUAUACAGGAGAGGGUGGAUCGCCUAAUCUCCAGGUUUAAGGGCAAACCUGAUAGGCCACCAAAGCCUAAGAAAAAACCCUCACAUUUUUUUAUGGAACAAUGGCACCUGUCCCGAGCCCAGUCUCCUCCUGAUUCCCCCCCCUCCACCUCCGACACCUUGAGACAGCGCUAUGUAAGGAUGUACACAGGCGGAGUUAGCUCAUUGGCUGAGCAGAUAUCCAAUCAGCUUCACUCUCAGGAAGACCCUAAGCCCCUACUCGAAAAGAGGGAUUUGGGCUCUCUCAGAAAGGAGUUCCCCGCCAACAUCGGUGGCAGUGAUGUGUGCUUCUUCUGCCGAAAGCGCGUGUACGUGAUGGAGAGGCUGAGCGCAGAGGGGAAGUUCUUUCAUCGCAGCUGCUUCAAGUGUGAAUACUGUGGCACCACACUGCGACUGUCCUCCUACGCCUUUGAUGUGGAGGAUGGGAAAUUUUACUGCAAGCCCCACUUCUGUUACCGUCUGUCUGGCUAUGCUCAGAGAAAGAGGCCUGCUCCUUCCCCUGCUCCAGUCACUGCUAAGGAGAACCAGGCGCCCCAAACUCCUACGGCGACCGUUGAUGCCCCCGGAAGGGCGAUGGCAGCGGCAACCCCGUCGGCCGAGCUCCAGCCCUCAGUGCCGGAGGUCAACGGCCUCCAGGCGCCCAGCCUAGCUAAACGUCUGCGGGGAACUCCAGAGCGCAUCGAGUUGGAGAACUACCGUCUGUCCCUGCAGAAGGAGGAGGAGCUGGAGGAGGUGCCUGAGGAGACACUGGCAGAACACAACCUCAGCAGCGUGCUUGACAAGGCCGCAGACGCUGACCUGGGCUCCAGUAGCUCCGAGUCAGACAUGGACGAGGAGGAUGAGCAGGAGGAUCCGGAGGAGGUGGAGCAGCAACCUCUCAGCCCCUCCGAUCUCGGCGGUGUUCCCUGGAAGGAGGCGGUGGAGCUCCACGCCAAACUAAGGGGCACGGAUGGCGAGGAAGAGGGCGAGGAAGAGGGCGAGGAUGAGGGUGAGGCUCUGGCCGACGCGGUCAGCAGAGACGGAGAACUAGAUGAAGACGAGGAGGAAGAUGAGGAUGAAGACGAUGGCGAGUCGAGCGAUGAGGGGGAUUACUGCCCCUGGGAUAGAGAGCUCCAGUCCGGCCUUUGGCUGGAGAAGCACCUCACAGAUGAAGAAGAUGUUGGUACAUUUAAAGCGAGGAACCUAAGGAUCCAACAGAUCCUGCAGCCUGUGGACCCUCAGGCCAUCCCAGGUUCGGUCAGAACACACAUGGACUCUGAGGGAGACAAGGAGGGCCAGCUGGCCUCAGCCUCCCAACUCUCCCAACCCUCUGAGCUCACGCAGGCCUCCUCUACAGCCCUUGGCCACACGUCCGCCCGACACGAGGCAGUGAGAGUCUGGUUGGAGUCCAUGUCUGGAGAGCCCUGUGAGGAUGGAGAUCUGGAAGCAGAAGCAGACAGUCCGGAUAUGGAGCCUGGUACCGAGAUGGAUCAGGAUGACAUCCCUUCAGAUGCAGAAGCUGAGGCUCAUUUGCAUCAGUCAGGGCGUGGCGAAGAGCUUCCCGAGGAAGACAAGAAGUCAGAAAGGCUGAGGAUGUCCUCCAGUAUUGAACCAUCCAGCAUCAGCCCCAUGCAGAAAGAAGAUGUUCUUCUUUCCCCUCUCAGACCAUCUCCAGAGCCUGAAUUACAGAUAAGUCUGCUGAUGUCUCCUGGCACCCGCUUUUUCCCAGAACCGUUCAUACCAGAGGAAAGGAAGGCUGAGAGGACAUCUCCCUCUCCAGCCCCCAAGAGUCCUUUGUCCCCUUCGCCUGCACCAGUCCGCAAUCCUUCCGCUGUCCCAUCCCCUACUCUUGUUGCCUCCCCUGUCAAUGUCCCUGCCUCAUAUCCCCUAAGUUCACUCACCAAAUCAUCACCAACCACAGAGUCACCGGUCAGAUCCCCUGUCAAAUCCCCUGUUGGCUCCGCGAUCUGCUCUCAACCCACCCCCUUACCAGAGACUUGCACACCUAUAUCUCCUGUCUACCCUCACCGCUCUAUUUGCCCUCUCACAGGCAACCCCCUCUCCCCAAUCUGUGCUCGGCCUUUGCUCUGUCAGGAGCCAUCGUCACCCCUCGGCUCUGACUCUCCGGUCAGAACUCAGCCUGUCCCUGCAGUCACUUCCACGCCCAUGACCAACACAGACAAGGGCCCUUCUGAGCCUCCAAUUUCUGUAGAGUCCUCAACAGAGGAAACUCCAUCUAAAAAGACAGAUAUCAUUGAGGAAUUUUGGUUAAAGAGUGCCGAGAUCAGAAAGAGCCUUGGUUUGACACCUCUGGACCGCAGUAGUAAGAUCUUAGAAAGGAGUGUUGUCACGGCUCCAGUGCAGGACUCCAGCCCUGUUAAGACACAGUCUCAAGAUGUGUUGGAGGAACAGAAGCCUGUCUUCACUGGCCGCACUGUCAUCCGCAGACUCAACAUAACUCUUGAGGGUCAGGUCAUUACCCCCAUUGCUCUUACGGAGCCCAAGAGUAAUGGCUCCGAUAAGAGGGACCUGAGCAACAGCUCUGGCCUGGGGUUGAACGGGAGCAUGGCUACGAGCCAGACAGCAAACAGUGACAGCUUUAACACGUCCGACUCCACCAUGCUCACCCCGCCCUCCAGCCCGCCCCCACCUGUGCCUGCUAAUCAGUCUCCUGCUGUGUUCCGGCAGCAGAGACACCAGGUGUCUUGGAGCAACGGGAUAGAAAACCCUCUACCUGAGCGUGCCAAAGAGCCAGCAAAAGUCAAGAGUCCUGUUCCUGCACCGAGGACUCAGCUGAGUCCCGUGUCCGCACCGAGGACCCAGCUGAGUCCCGUGUCUGCACCCAAACCCGCACGCAGGAAAGUCUCCUCGCCCCAGGCAGAUCCAGAAACAACUCCAGUGGUUGUCAUGAGGGAGAAGAAGAAGCCACGGCCGCAGGAGGUGAGGAAGUCGUUCGUGGAGACGGUGGAGGAGAUUCCGUUUGCAGAUGACGUGGAAGAGACCUAUGAUGAGCGGACACCAGAAACGAGCAUGAACAGCUACUAUACUCCACCCACUAGCAAGCCCAGCAGAUACAGACCUCCCCUACAUCUGGCUCUAGCCAUGGAAAAUGGUAAACCAAAUAUACAUGUCAACCAGGUCUCUAGGACCGAGAGAGCAACUCAGUUCUCCCCAGAGGCCAAAGAGAUCGCUGAGGAGAGAAUGAAGGCCAGAGAAAAGUCAGUCAAGAGCCAGGCUCUGAAAGACGCCAUGGCCAAGCAGCUCAACAAAAUGAAGGAAUCUGACAUAGACAAGGGUGCCUUACCUAAAACGGCCCGGAGCGUAACCCCAGAUGCUGUCGGAAAAAGCAAAAAGUCAGCCGCGUCUCCGAAGACAUCAGCCGUGAAAGCUCUGGAGUCAAAGAAGGCCGAUAUUUUACCUGAGCGUUUCUUCAGCAGCAACAAGAGUCUGGACAGCUCGGUGGCUUCGUCGGACGGCUCCUCUACGAGCAAGAGCAAGAAACGAAGUUCCCUCUUCUCGCCGCGCAAGAAUAAGAAGGAGAAAAAGGCCAAGAACGACAGCAGCAGGCUCUCCGGCACAGACGAGACACCGCCCAAACACAAGUCGCUGUGGAAGGCCGUCUUCUCAGGGUACAAGAAGGACAAAAAGAAGAAGGACGAUAAAUCAUCUCCGAGCACGCCGUCCUCCAGUUCCACCACCCAGGACUCCGGGAAGAAGAAAACCUCACCAUCAUCAGACUUGAAAUCCCGCAGAAACUUGAGCUUCUCUGAGGAAUCCGACCUGUCCUGUGAUGAUGUUCUGGAGAGGUCCUCCCAGAAGUCAAAGGCAGAUCAGCACAUGGACAUCUUUGACCUAGUAUCAGGCAUGCACAUGGAAGCGAUUAAGGAGGAGAAACUGGAGAAGGAGAGGAGGAGGGAGAUGAAGGAAAGGAAGAGGGUGAAAGAGAGGCAUAAAGAAAGAGAGCGAGGAAAAGAGGUUGAUCGCGAAAAGGAGAAAAACGAGGAGGAGUCUGUUUAUGUCCCUCACGCACUGGCGUUCAAGAGAUCGUACGCCACAAAGAAAACCUACACCGAGGAAGAGCUGAAUGCCAAGCUGACGCGAAGGGUCCAGAAAGCUGCCCGACGACAAGCCAAGCAGGAGGAACUCAAGAGGCUGCACAGAGCCCAGAUCAUCCAGAGACAGUUGGAGCAGGUGGAGGAGAAGCAGAGGCAGCUGGAAGAGAGAGGCGUAGCUGUGGAGAAAGCUUUGAGAGGAGAAGCAGGAUUGUAUAAAGGUACUUAUACAUUACCCAAACAGCACAAAAGAAGAUCAGACUAUUGGGGAGAUUCUAAUUACAGUGAAAUCCUGGACUUGCAUCUGGGCGUUGAGCCCUUUGUGGGGAUGCCUCGCCGAAGACCCCUCUCCUUCUGCCCCUGCUGUUCCCCUCAAGGCAUGGGCAAGAAGGACGAUCCCAAGCUAAUGCAGGAGUGGUUUAAGCUGGUGCAGGAGAAAAAUGCCCUGGUCCGCUAUGAGUCAGAACUCAUGAUAUUGUAAGUACCAGAGAGUUGGAGCUGGAGGACCGACAGAGCCGCCUGCAGCAGGAACUCAGGGAGCGGAUGGCUGUGGAAGACCACCUGAAGUCGGAGAAGGAGCUCAGUCAAGAGAAGCAGAUCUUGAAUGAGAUGUUGGAGGUGGUGGAGCAACGUGACGCCCUGGUGGCCCUCUUGGAUGAGCAGAGGCUUCGGGAGAAAGAGGAGGACAAGGACCUGGAGGCUGUAAUGCUCUCCAAAGGCUUCAACCUCAACUGGGCUUAGCAGGAAGGAAACAAUUGCUCAUCGAGCCCUGGGAAAAGAGUUGACUACACUUGUGAUGGCUGGUCUCUGCCUCACGCGGUCAUCUUGGAUCAGGAUAGUCUGCUGAACACUGCAGCAGUGAAUGUGUAAAGAUUCCCCCAACACACACCACGACUGCCUCUGACAUGGAAGCAGUAUGCAACGUUUACAUAUCCUCUGCCCAAUGGCAGUUCCAGUUAAUCACUUUGCAGUUUUUUUUUGCUCGCUCUCGAUCUCUAAGGGUGUAGAAGCGGGUACAUUCACAGCUUUAUCAGGCCAGCCUUGAAGUGGAUCUUCUCCAACAGGAGGCAGGCUAUGGGAGAAUGUUUAAAGACUUGUUUCAUUCUCUAUCAUCUAAAAGGGAAGAAUGCAGUUCGGUCCUGCUGAUGUAAAGGAAUUGUAAAGAAUUGUGUCUUUGUGUGUAGUUGUAAGUAAGUCACAUUGUCGGCGGAUGAGGGUCAUCUCUUCUUUUUUUCUGAAAAAAGGACCGCUACAGAGGCGUGUUUAAGUGCUGGAGUGAUGUCUCCGGUCUCAAUCUCUGAUUCUCCUUUCCAGUCUAAGUGAAGGACGAACAGCCUCUGCUGAAGCUGCCUUUCUAUCCAGUCACAAACUGACCUCUGCGUCAUUAUGAACCAUAAAGACACCAUAAAAGGCUCUAUUUUCCCACAUCAGUGUUUUUGUGAGUCAACACUAAGAAACCAUCAAAUAUGGCCAUGGUUUUUAAUGUAUUUAUUAUCUUUUUUAACAUUUUAGUUUUGUUUUGCAUUCACAGGUGAGUGCCCUGCAUCUCAUUAUCUUGCACUCGUGCAUGACUCGGAUGCAUCGAUAAGCCAUUGCAUGUCAGGAAUGAAGGCUGCAGACACAUAGAAGAACUUAACCUUGUCUUUCAUAGCUAGGACACAAAAUACAGACUUAUGCUAUUUAUGAACAGCAUUUCACAUAAUGAUGGGCCUCUCCUUGACAUGCCGUUCACUGUACAUCACACUGUGGGAAAUAGUAGGGAGGUAAAAAAAGUGUUUUCACCUUUUGAAGGAACUGUCUCUUCAAAUUCCGAAAAUGUCACUGUUAAUGGGAGAUCAGCGUAGCUCACAUUACUCAUUUUGUGCCACAGGACUGUCUCUGCUGGUGGAUAUGCUGCAAUAUCUGAGAUAUACACUACGAGGACUUCCACACUACACACCACUCACAUCAACACAUGGCAGUGCUAAUACUUUACCCUUGAACAAGAUGCCUUUUUCAUUUUCAUUCUCUAUACUUAAGUUAUGUUUAAUUUUUUGAGUUGACUUGUUUUUGAGGUAGUCCCAUAUGUGUACCCCACUGGAACUCAAGAUUUUAGUUUUUCAAAUACUUUUAUACAGCAGGUCUCCACACAAAAAAACACAUGAUUUUAAAUAGGGAGUUUAGGAAAUGCAAAGUGCUUUAUGAGCAACUUGCCUCAAACAGGGAAUCUUAUGGUUUAACUGGUGGACAGUCUAAUUUAAUAGCCUUUUUUUGACAACUGUAAAUAUCCACAUGGUCACUGUUUUACAGCCAAGAAACAUUAGAGGCUAUAUUUAUGACUUGGAAUGAGCUGUGAAUUAAAAAAGAAGUGAUAUCAUUUUGAGGGUUAUGGUUUUAGAUGGUGUGUGUGAUAAGUUUGACAUGAUUGUAUUGAUAUUUAUUAACAUGUGUGCAAACUGUAUUAUAUGUAAAGAAAAUGAAUCCUAAUUUUUAAACCGUUCUGUUGACACAUGACUUGUAAAUGCUUCAUGUAGCUAAAAUGCAUAGGGGUGUUGGAUGUAUGCUGAAAACGGCAAUAAAACAAUGCAGUUCUUUUAAACGUU